AUGAUUGUAGCAAAAAGAAAAGCUAGUUCCAGCAAAAACAUACACCGGUUCCAGCUCGCCACCGUGCUGGUUCCAGCACCGGUGUCCCCCACGGGUUGCAGCUCCGCCUGCUCGAUGCAGCUGCCCAAACCUCGCCCGUCGGCGCGGCGCCGUCAGAUGCAGCUCAACCCAUCGUCGGUUGUAGCUCCUCCGUCCACCGGCUGCAGCUUCCGGCGUGCCCUGUUGCAGCUCCACGGUCCGUCGUCCAUCCCUGCGACAAGAGGGGCGUCGCGGAACUGGAAGGACGCCGAGGCAACUAUGGGGAAAAAAGGGGAAAAGCUCGCCGAAGAGGGAGAAAUAGCAGCAGAGGGAACUCCUCUAGUGGUGGUGGGGCUCGCCGGAGCUAGGAUCCGACGAGGCGAGCGAGAGGUGAGGCGGGUGAUGCACGAGCGGAGAGCAAGACGUGAGGUAGGCCAUGCGCGGGCGAAGGAGGACGAGCUGCAGGACUUGUGUGGACGAGAGAAAGCGGUGCUGGGGCAUCUGCUCGUUAUGUGCGUGUGCGAGUACAGCGGUGUGACCGGCCGAAAAUUCGGCCGGCGCACCGCACACAAACGUUUCCCUAUGAUAAAUGGCCCACAUCAUUACAGGGCUAAUGAUCAAAUCCUCACGAGGCGCCGCCGCCGCUCUCUAGAAGGAGGCCAGGCCAGUGCCAGGGCAGAUCCGACGAUGCGCCGCCAGUUCAUCAACGUGGUGCUGGGCUGCCACAAGACCUGCUCCUUCGUCCUGCACCGCAUCAGGUCGUCGAGCCUCUUCCACCCACGAAAACGAACCGCCGGCACAUCGCCGCCGCCUCCGCCGACACAGGUGGAAGAGGCCGCGCUGCCGAAACCCGCGCUGUCGUUCGGCUUUCUCCGCAAGGAAUGCGUCCCAGGCGGGACCUCCAUGUUCAUGCCUUUCGGCCGCAGCGGGGACGGGAUCCUCGGCGUAGGCCCGAGCGUCGACGUCCUGGCCUACGACGCCCGCCUGAAUAACGUCAGGGUCAUGCCCAGGCUGCAGGGGUGCAUGGCCGACCCCAUCGCCUUCAACGUCGGCGACGCCCUCUACCUCCUGGAGAGGCGCCCCAGCAGGUCUGGUCGGACCAACCAGCCCAGCUUCCAAGUUCUCAAGCACGGCGACCCUCCGGAAGACGUCUACGUGUUCCCGAGGUGGCACUGGCGCUCCCUCCGGCCUCCUCCCUACGUGAACGCCGCCACGAUCGGCGCCUCCGCGCUGGUCGGUGACGACAUCUGGGUGUCGGCCGAGGGCGUCGGCACCUACGCCUUCGACACCGCCAAACACAGGUGGAGCAAGGCCGGCGGCUGGGAGCUCCCGUUCUGCGGCGGCGCAGAGUACUCCCCGGAGCUCGGCCUCUGGUUCGGCCUCUCUUCUCUACACAAGAAGAAGCUCUUCUGCGCAGCGGACCUCUCGGCGGCAGCGGGUGCUUCCGGUGCGCCCGAGCUGUGCCGUGUCUGGAGGAAGGAGCUCGCCGCCAACCCUGAGGACUGGGAGCUGCUGGACACCCUCCUCGUGCAUGUUGGCAACGGCAGGUUCUGCGUCGCCAGGUUCUACCACGUGUAUGCAGAUGAAGAGAGCCCCAUUGCAACGGAGAAAUUCGCAGUCUUCACCGGCGUGGAGGUGCAGCGCCUCAAGGCUGGUGGGAGGAUCAAGAUAGUCGGGCACAAAUCCAUACGCUACGAAAUCGAUGCCUAUAUCCACUGGGUGUUUUAG
Molecule: ribosomal RNA, 1746 nt
Filed under: Triticum aestivum (bread wheat)
Lineage: Eukaryota; Viridiplantae; Streptophyta; Magnoliopsida; Poales; Poaceae
Description: partial small subunit ribosomal RNA
Source: RNAcentral